UGCCCAGAUAGCUCAGUUGGUAGAGCAGCGGACUGAAAAUCCGCGUGUCCGUGGUUCGAAUCCGCGUCUGGGCACCAU
RNAcentral lists this transfer RNA (78 nucleotides) under Bartonella quintana str. Toulouse. Its description in RNAcentral is "tRNA-Phe". It matches the Rfam family "tRNA". From Rfam's summary of the family: Transfer RNA (tRNA) molecules are approximately 80 nucleotides in length. Their secondary structure includes four short double-helical elements and three loops (D, anti-codon, and T loops). The record is from RNAcentral. Lineage: Bacteria; Pseudomonadati; Pseudomonadota; Alphaproteobacteria; Hyphomicrobiales; Bartonellaceae.